Long non-coding RNA from Prionailurus viverrinus (fishing cat), 306 nucleotides. RefSeq lists it as uncharacterized. NCBI's taxonomy places the organism in Eukaryota, Metazoa, Chordata, Mammalia, Carnivora, Felidae. The record is from RefSeq and is a predicted model, not a curated record. The transcript has 3 exons.
CACACACACUUGUGCCAGGGACUGAGCGGUCCUGCCCUAUGAGGUUGGCUUUGAGACUACAUGAGAUUAGAGAGACACAUGGGGAGAAGGGCUGGCUUCAUGACACAAGUCUGGUCAAUGAGACAAAGGGGAUGUCUGCUGAGGAUUCUCAGAAAAGAUUUGCCUUGUCCUCUUCUUCUGGUCUUGAACCUAGAUGUGCUGGCUGAAGGUGACACCAAAGACCUGCUCUGCCCCCUCAUGACCUGUGACAUGGCACUACCACGCAUAGAAGGACGUUAACGCACAGAUAUAAUUAACACGCUCCGU